Molecule: ribosomal RNA, 356 nt
Filed under: Neohymenicus pubescens
Lineage: Eukaryota; Metazoa; Arthropoda; Malacostraca; Decapoda; Hymenosomatidae
Description: partial 12S ribosomal RNA
Source: RNAcentral
CCCUAUUAUUUUAAAUGUAAAUGUUUCAUAGUAGUUAUUUUCUUAAAAUUAAAAGAAUUUGGCGGUAAUUUAGUCUAGCUAGAGGAAUUUGUAUAAUAAUUGAUAAACCUCGUUAAAUCUUACUUAUUUUUAAAAGUUUGUAUAUCGUCAUUAACAGAUUAUAUUUGAAAAUAGUUAUUGUCAUUAAUUAGUUAUAAAAAUUAGAUCAGGGUGCAACGUAUAAAUAAGAAUAUAUUAAUUACAAUAAUUUUAUUUAAUAGACGAAUUUUUAUAAGAAUUUAUUUAAUGAAGGUGGAUUUAGUUGUAUUUUAAAAAAUUAAUAAAGUUUUAAGAGAUAAGAUUUAAAUUGUGUACAC